RNAcentral lists this unclassified non-coding RNA (378 nucleotides) under plant metagenome. Its description in RNAcentral is "partial contains 5.8S ribosomal RNA, internal transcribed spacer 2, and large subunit ribosomal RNA". The stretch from base 1 to 105 matches the Rfam family "5.8S ribosomal RNA", at positions 50 to 154 of the family's 154-position model. The record is from RNAcentral.
GUAAUGCGAUAAGUAAUGUGAAUUGCAGAAUUCAGUGAAUCAUCGAAUCUUUGAACGCACCUUGCGCUCCUUGGUAUUCCUUGGAGCAUGCCUGUUUGAGUAUCAUGAAAUCUUCAAAGUAAAUCUUUUGUUAACUCAAUUGGUUUCUACUUUGGUAUUGGAGGUCUUUGCAGCUUCACACCUGCUCCUCUUUGUUCAUUAGCUGGAUCUCAGUGUUAUGCUUGGUUCCACUCGGCGUGAUAAGUUAUCUAUCGCUGAGGACACUGUAAAAGGUGGCCAAGGUAAAUGCAGAUGAACCGCUUCUAAUAGUCCAUUGACUUGGACAAUACUUUUAUGAUCUGAUCUCAAAUCAGCUAGGACUACCCGCUGAACUUAAGC